UACGGGGGGGGCAAGCGUUGUUCGGAAUUACUGGGCGUAAAGGGCGCGUAGGCGGUUCGCUAAGUUGGAUGUGAAAACUCUGGGCUCAACCCAGAGCCUGCAUUCAAAACUGACGAGCUAGAGUUCUGGAGGGGGUAGCGGAAUUCCUGGUGUAGCGGUGAAAUGCGUAGAUAUCAGGAGGAACACCGGUGGCGAAGGCGGCUACCUGGACAGAAACUGACGCUGAGGCGCGAAAGCUAGGGGAGCAAGCAGG
RNAcentral lists this ribosomal RNA (253 nucleotides) under uncultured bacterium. RNAcentral's name for it is "partial 16S ribosomal RNA". It matches the Rfam family "Bacterial small subunit ribosomal RNA", at positions 524 to 776 of the family's 1533-position model. The record is from RNAcentral.